RNAcentral lists this long non-coding RNA (200 nucleotides) under Musa acuminata (dwarf banana). RNAcentral describes it as "long non-coding RNA (MACU_LNC010801)". The record is from RNAcentral. Lineage: Eukaryota; Viridiplantae; Streptophyta; Magnoliopsida; Zingiberales; Musaceae.
GGAGAGGUUAUUGGGCUGAUAGUCCACGAGUUCAGCCCAUAGUGGGCUUUAAUAGCCCACAACCCGCCCCUCUUUCAAGUCAAACCCUAGAUCUAAUAAGGGGGGUGUGGUGGCUAUGAAAAUAGGGGGAGAAAACUGUAACAGCAAUGUGAUUCAAAAAGAGAAGAAAAGGACAGAAAAAUAAGACAAGGAAAGGGAAG